AUUGAACGCUGGCGGCGUGCCUAACACAUGCAAGUCGAGCGGUAACAGGUGUAGCAAUACAUGCUGACGAGCGGCGGACGGGUGAGUAACGCUUGGGAAUCUGCCUGUUAGUGGGGGACAACCCGGGGAAACUCGGGCUAAUACCGCAUACGCACUACGGUGGAAAGCCGGGGACCGCAAGGCCUGGCGCUAACAGAUGAGCCCAAGUCGGAUUAGCUAGUUGGUAGGGUAACGGCCUACCAAGGCGACGAUCCGUAACUGGUCUGAGAGGACGACCAGUCACACCGGAACUGAGACACGGUCCGGACUCCUACGGGAGGCAGCAGUGGGGAAUAUUGGACAAUGGGCGAAAGCCUGAUCCAGCGACGCCGCGUGGGUGAAGAAGGCCUGCGGGUUGUAAAGCCCUUUCGGUGGGGAAGAAAAGCCUACGAGUUAAUACCUCGGGGUCUUGACGUAACCCAUAGAAGAAGC
RNAcentral lists this ribosomal RNA (471 nucleotides) under uncultured bacterium. RNAcentral describes it as "bacterial SSU rRNA". It matches the Rfam family "Bacterial small subunit ribosomal RNA", at positions 29 to 491 of the family's 1533-position model. The record is from RNAcentral.